RNAcentral lists this transfer RNA (69 nucleotides) under Gnetum gnemon. RNAcentral describes it as "tRNA-Ile". Lineage: Eukaryota; Viridiplantae; Streptophyta; Gnetopsida; Gnetales; Gnetaceae. The record is from RNAcentral.
ACAUCCAUGGAUAAAUUAUUAAAGUGUCCAACUCAUAAUUGGUGAACUCGUGGGGUUCAAUUCCUGCUG